CCGCCCCGCCCGGGGGCCGCAGGGGUUCUCGGCGCGCCGACGGCCGGGGCGGCGGCGGACGGACGGGCUGGACGGACGGACGGCGGCUGAUCGCCCCGCGGGCCUCCCAGGAGAGGGGACUGUUCAUCUCGAGGUGGCACCUGGCCGGCCGUGGGACCAUGACGCUGCUCUGGGAGCCCGUGGAAGCCUGGCUAGUGCUGGCCCUGGCCUUGGCGCUGGCCCUGGGCCCCAGUGUGGGUGUAGCUGCCCCGAGGCAGGACUGCACGGGUGUGGAGUGCCCGCCGCUGGAGCACUGCAUCGAGGAGGCGCUGGAGCCGGGCGGUGCCUGUGACCG
Molecule: long non-coding RNA, 334 nt
Filed under: Equus asinus (donkey)
Lineage: Eukaryota; Metazoa; Chordata; Mammalia; Perissodactyla; Equidae
Description: lncRNA (ENSEASG00005024671.1)
Source: RNAcentral